GGGAGUGUGGCUCAGUGGUAGAGUGCUUGCCUAGCAUGCUUGAGGCCCUAUGUUCAAUCCACAGUACCACUA
Molecule: transfer RNA, 72 nt
Filed under: Heterocephalus glaber (naked mole-rat)
Lineage: Eukaryota; Metazoa; Chordata; Mammalia; Rodentia; Bathyergidae
Rfam family: tRNA
About the family: Transfer RNA (tRNA) molecules are approximately 80 nucleotides in length.
Source: Rfam by way of RNAcentral